RNAcentral lists this long non-coding RNA (226 nucleotides) under Panax ginseng (ginseng). RNAcentral's name for it is "long non-coding RNA (PGIN_LNC009535)". The record is from RNAcentral. Lineage: Eukaryota; Viridiplantae; Streptophyta; Magnoliopsida; Apiales; Araliaceae.
GGAAAUGUUAUUUUCCAUGGAAACCCAAUCGACUAUAGUGGAACUGGUUAGGGGAGUACAAUUGAGUAAUGAGGAAUGCCAACAAAUACAGAAGAGGAUAGAAGAUGAAGAGAAGACUAAGUAUAACCUCGAUAAGGAGGGAUUACUUCGUUUUGAAGGAAGAAUUUGGGUUCCGAAUGAUCCCUAAUUAAAGGAGGAAAUAAUGAUGGAGGCCCAUAGUUCGAGG